RNAcentral lists this ribosomal RNA (478 nucleotides) under uncultured Pseudomonadota bacterium. RNAcentral's name for it is "bacterial SSU rRNA". It matches the Rfam family "Bacterial small subunit ribosomal RNA", at positions 97 to 570 of the family's 1533-position model. The record is from RNAcentral. Lineage: Bacteria; Pseudomonadati; Pseudomonadota.
GGCGGACGGGUGAGUAACGCGCUAGGGAUCUACCUAAUGGUGGGGGAUAGCCCAGGGAAACUUGGAUUAAUACCGCAUAAGUCCUAAGGGAGAAAGCGGGGGAUCUUCGGACCUCGUGCCAUUAGAUGAGCCUGCGUAAGAUUAGCUAGUUGGUGAGGUAAGAGCUCACCAAGGCGACGAUCUUUAGCUGGUCUGAGAGGAUGAUCAGCCACACUGGGACUGAGACACGGCCCAGACUCCUACGGGAGGCAGCAGUGGGGAAUAUUGGACAAUGGGGGCAACCCUGAUCCAGCCAUGCCGCGUGUGUGAAGAAGGCCUUCGGGUUGUAAAGCACUUUCAGCAGUGAGGAAAGGUUACAGAUUAAUACUCUGUAGCUGUGACGUUAACUGCAGAAGAAGGACCGGCUAACUCCGUGCCAGCAGCCGCGGUAAUACGGAGGGUCCGAGUGUUAAUCGGAAUUACUGGGCGUAAAGCGCGC